GCCGGAAUGGCGGAAUUGGCAGACGCGCUAGCUUCAGGUGCUAGUGCCCCUCGGGGCGUGCAGGUUCAACCCCUGUUUCCGGCACCA
This 87-nucleotide transfer RNA is filed under the name Candidatus Saccharimonadota bacterium. RNAcentral's name for it is "tRNA-Leu". It matches the Rfam family "tRNA". Rfam says of the family: Transfer RNA (tRNA) molecules are approximately 80 nucleotides in length. Their secondary structure includes four short double-helical elements and three loops (D, anti-codon, and T loops). Lineage: Bacteria; Candidatus Saccharimonadota. The record is from RNAcentral.